GAUGAAGAACGUAGCGAAAUGCGAUAAGUAAUGUGAAUUGCAGAAUUCAGUGAAUCAUCGAAUCUUUGAACGCACAUUGCGCCCGCCAGUAUUCUGGCGGGCAUGCCUGUCUGAGCGUCAUUUCAACCCUCAUGCCCCUAGGGCGUGGUGUUGGGGAUCGGCCAAAGCCCGCGAGGGACGGCCGGCCCCUAAAUCUAGUGGCGGACCCGUCGUGGCCUCCUCUGCGAAGUAGUGAUAUUCCGCAUCGGAGAGCGACGAGCCCCUGCCGUUAAACCCCCAUCUUUCCAAGGUUGACCUCAGAUCAGGUAGGAAUACCCGCUGAACUUAAGCAUAUCAAUAAGCGGAGGA
Molecule: unclassified non-coding RNA, 348 nt
Filed under: soil metagenome
Description: partial contains 5.8S ribosomal RNA, internal transcribed spacer 2, and large subunit ribosomal RNA
Rfam family: 5.8S ribosomal RNA (bases 1-120)
Source: RNAcentral